Long non-coding RNA from Rosa rugosa (rugosa rose), 609 nucleotides. RefSeq lists it as uncharacterized. The transcript has 3 exons. The record is from RefSeq and is a predicted model, not a curated record. Lineage: Eukaryota; Viridiplantae; Streptophyta; Magnoliopsida; Rosales; Rosaceae.
UCUACCUGUUCUUCACUCUCAACUUCAUUUUCUUGCUUUUGAUUCCUUAAUUAAGGAAUGAAGGAAUGAAUAACUUAAGAAACAAUUAACCUUUUUAUUUUCUGUUUCUGUUGUUCUGCUAUGGUUGUAAAGAAGUUGAGUAAGUUGCAUACCUAACUGCCUAUCUUUGAAUUUUGUACAGUUACAAAAGGAGCACAGCAGCCAUAUCUGUAGGAAAGAAGAGUUGUGCCAAAGAAGAGGCCCUGAUUUUUCAAAACUGUGUUGUGUGAGCUUGAGAUGUCUGCAUCAAUGUGCUAGUAGUGGAGAAUAGCAACUUUUUCGCUGACAAACUUGCUGAACAACAGUCUAGUUCGUUGUGCUUGAAAUUGAAGAGUGCGAGGAUGUUGAAAUAUAUGUUGAAACUGUUAGGCUGAUGUACUGCAAAGAAAUGAGGCAACGGAUGAUGAAGCAAAGCGUUUCCCGUGUACUCCGAAUUCUGAAGGAACUAAAUGGUGGAAUGUUGCAUAAAGAGUCUUUCCGAGAUUGAGCGUGGAGUACAAAGCAAUGCAGCAAGCCAUAUUUUCUUUCAUCAUGUAAAACUUAACCAGGAAACUUAAAUGCGUUUUAGUC